RNAcentral lists this ribosomal RNA (405 nucleotides) under uncultured bacterium. RNAcentral describes it as "partial 16S ribosomal RNA". It matches the Rfam family "Bacterial small subunit ribosomal RNA", at positions 30 to 526 of the family's 1533-position model. The record is from RNAcentral.
AUUGAACGCUGGCGGCAGGCUUAACACAUGCAAGUCGAACGAGUGGCGGACGGGUGAGUAAUGCUUGGGAAUCUAGCUUAUGGCGGGGGAUAACUACGGGAAACUGUAGCUAAUACCGCGUACCAUAGGCUGAGCCCAAGUGGGAUUAGGUAGUUGGUGAGGUAAAGGGUCACCAAGCAGACGAUCGCUAGCUGGUCUGCGAGGAUGACCAGCCACACUGGGACUGGGACACGGCCCAGACUCCUACGGGAGGCAGCAGUGGGGAAUGUUGCGCAAUGGGGGAAACCUGACGCAGCCAUGCCGCGUGAAUGAAGAAGGCCUUCGGGUUGUGAAGUUCUGUCGGUAGCGAGGCGUUAACUACAGAAGAAGCACCGGCUAACUCCGUGCCAGCAGCCGCGGUAAUUC